AUGUACUAGUUAUUAAUUUAUACUUUUAAUAUGGUUAAAUUAUUAUUAAAUUUUUUAAAAAGAAUUACACAUCGCGAAGUGCGGGGUUUAUCACUAAAUUUAGGAGGAAAUCAGCAGGAUAGGAAAAAAAAAUAUAAAGUCUGCUCUUAGGGGUUAGUAGAGUUUCGGUGAUGAGUAGAUGUUUCCAAACGUCACACGACUGACAACUGUUCUCACGCCAGAUCCGGAGCGGGUCUCGCUCCGGAUCUGGCGUGAGAACAAUCGUGAGUCUCAGAUCUCUUCAUCACCUGAUUCUUUUGCUUAAUUGUGCCCGCGCUCUAAAGUCCUAAAGUGAAAAUUUGUGUUUCUCUGGAUUGUCAAGACUGACAUUUUUUGAUAUGCUUUGAAUCCGGAGCAAAAUUGUUUAGGGGAAUUUCAGAUCUGUAUGGUGGUUCUCACGACAGAAUUGGCAACUCUUACCUAAAGAGAACUUAAGUACCAAAGUAAGCAGUUAGUUGGCAGUAGUUAUCAUAAAUCCAGUUUCACGAGUAGUCUCCGAUCGAAAACACAGAAGAUGGAGAAGUCGUAUUCGACCACUUUAUCGUAUACGCAAAGUGCUUUGGUUUCCAUACCUUGCCUACGCCGGUUUAUAUAGAAAUCGCUACACAUAGCCAUAUAGAAAAUGGUACAGACUUGAUAAUACGAUGGUUUUCAAAGAGGAUUUAUUCAAAGUUAUAUACCUUUUGGUAAUAACAAUUAUUUCAUAUAUGGCAAUCGGAAUUUAUUACAAAUGUAUCAACAAGGACCAAUGAGACAGGAGCUUCAAUCCCCUGGAAUGAUUGCAUAUGGGCUCCCUCCUUCUAUGAUUGGAUAUGGAUCAUCGCCACAUAUGAUUGGUUACGGACCAUAUCCUAAUAUGAUUGGUUACGGACCAUAUCCUAAUAUGAUUGGUUACGGACCAUAUCCUAAUAUGAUUGGUUACGGACCAUAUCCUAAUAUGAUUGGUUAC
Molecule: long non-coding RNA, 988 nt
Organism: Centruroides sculpturatus (bark scorpion)
Lineage: Eukaryota; Metazoa; Arthropoda; Arachnida; Scorpiones; Buthidae
Exons: 3
Source: RefSeq, a predicted model, not a curated record